CUGCUUUUCAUCAUCUCCCCAUAUGGAAUUUAGGGAGCACCAUGCCAAAAUGGACCAGAACUCAGCAUUCGCGUGCUUUCUGGCAGAGACAACUUAUCUGGCAAGAACAACAGUGCGAAAUGAAGAUAAAUGAAGAAUAUGGGCACAUGAAUCCUAAGAAGUAGGCUGGGUCAGCCUUAUUCAGAGGAAGGUUUUAAGGGACAGGACCAGCUGUAAAGUCCAAUUAAGACAGUGCACCCAAGUAUCAUCAGGGCUGACUCUGAGGCCCUCGGUUCAGGUCUGAGCCCAGACUGCGCUUGUCAGUGAGGAGAGUUACCGACCCAGCACCACCUGAAGAUCUCUGAGGAGCAAGGUUGCUUGUAUCCAUCAGCUUGUUCCUGAAACUGUCAGAAAUAGCUUCUGCAAUGUUUCUACUUCACAGCCUGGUGAGUCCUGACCUGGGCAGAGCAGUCACUGAUGAACCAAAAGAAGGCCAUUUCAGAGAUGUGGGGAGCUGAGUGUGCUGGUAGGAUGCUCAUUACAGUGACUGCCUGAGAGGGUUCUUGGCAUUUGACAGGAUGUGCCCCAGUAAAUUCCCUGACAUUAACAGAUCCCGCUCCCUAGCUUUUCCUUCGUUGUAUUCUGUAUUUGGUAGUGUUCGAUGCUAUGCAUAGGCACCUGAAGCAGUGGCUCGUGUGAGGUUUGAACCAGCAGAGAUCAGAGCAGCAUUUCAAAGUCUUUUCAGAUUCCCUGUUGCAGCUUGUUCCAUCUCCUCUGGACCUGCUUCCUGCCUGAAAUGCCGGAAAGAAGUUCUCUGAAUCUCUGAUCGCACAUUCUGUUUCCCCCAGUGGUGCCUAGUAGAAGAAAUCUUGUCUCUUGGAUAUCCAACUCAAAAGCCAAAGUGAGAGAGAAAAUAACAGUUGCUUUAAAUAAUGAACGAAAGUGCCAGGAGAUUUAAUUUCCCCCACCUUCCUCCCUCCCCCCAUGUAGAUAUUCUCUUCUUUAAAAACAAUUUUACAAAGUGAGCUUCAUGCUGGAUCGACAGCCCUGCAAAGCAGUGUUCUCUGUUCGCAUACCAAAUGGGAAUAACUAAUGCGUGGGAGUGCAGGCUUCCACUCAGCGCUAGCAGCAUGUCUUGGACUUUGUUGCAUAUUUGUGAAGGUCUUGGGUUAUCUCCCUGGUCCAUUCAGUGACAAAAUCCGGUGAUCUUCUGAAGAGUAAGAACAAGAGGAGAGAUGGUCAUUUAUUCACUGAUUUCUAAGGGUGCAAUAAAAGAUCAAUAAAUAAUUUCACUACAGUAACGAAAAAGAGUUUGCAUGAUGAAAUGUAUCUUGCUGCUUCUG
Molecule: long non-coding RNA, 1322 nt
Organism: Cygnus olor (mute swan)
Lineage: Eukaryota; Metazoa; Chordata; Aves; Anseriformes; Anatidae
Exons: 3
Source: RefSeq, a predicted model, not a curated record